RNAcentral lists this ribosomal RNA (460 nucleotides) under uncultured bacterium. Its description in RNAcentral is "partial 16S ribosomal RNA". It matches the Rfam family "Bacterial small subunit ribosomal RNA", at positions 338 to 795 of the family's 1533-position model. The record is from RNAcentral.
CCUACGGGAGGCAGCAGUGAGGAAUAUUGGUCAAUGGACGAGAGUCUGACCCAGCCAAGUAGCGUGAAGGAUGACUGCCCUAUGGGUUGUAAACUUCUUUUAUAAAGGAAUACAACGAGGCACGUGUGCCUUUUUGCAUGUACUUUAUGAAUAAGGAUCGGCUAACUCCGUGCCAGCAGCCGCGGUAAUACGGAGGAUCCGAGCGUUAUCCGGAUUUAUUGGGUUUAAAGGGAGCGUAGAUGGGUUGUUAAGUCAGUUGUGAAAGUUUGCGGCUCAACCGUAAAAUUGCAAUUGAUACUGGCAGUCUUGAGUACAGUUGAGGUAGGCGGAAUUCGUGGUGUAGCGGUGAAAUGCUUAGAUAUCACGAAGAACCCCGAUUGCGAAGGCAGCUUACUAAACUGUGACUGACAUUGAUGCUCGAAAGUGUGGGUAUCAAACAGGAUUAGAUACCCUUGUAGUC